UGGGGGAUUAGCUCAGCUGGCUAGAGCGCCUGCCUUGCACGCAGGAGGUCAUCGGUUCGACUCCGAUAUUCUCCA
This 75-nucleotide transfer RNA is filed under the name Maribacter dokdonensis DSW-8. Its description in RNAcentral is "tRNA-Ala". It matches the Rfam family "tRNA". From Rfam's summary of the family: Transfer RNA (tRNA) molecules are approximately 80 nucleotides in length. Lineage: Bacteria; Pseudomonadati; Bacteroidota; Flavobacteriia; Flavobacteriales; Flavobacteriaceae. The record is from RNAcentral.